This 73-nucleotide transfer RNA is filed under the name Magallana gigas (Pacific oyster). RNAcentral describes it as "Crassostrea gigas (Pacific oyster) tRNA". It matches the Rfam family "tRNA". Rfam says of the family: Transfer RNA (tRNA) molecules are approximately 80 nucleotides in length. Their secondary structure includes four short double-helical elements and three loops (D, anti-codon, and T loops). Further hydrogen bonds mediate the characteristic L-shaped molecular structure. tRNAs have two regions of fundamental functional importance: the anti-codon, which is responsible for specific mRNA codon recognition, and the 3' end, to which the tRNAs corresponding amino acid is attached (by aminoacyl-tRNA synthetases). tRNAs cope with the degeneracy of the genetic code in two manners: having more than one tRNA (with a specific anti-codon) for a particular amino acid; and 'wobble' base-pairing, i.e. permitting non-standard base-pairing at the 3rd anti-codon position. Lineage: Eukaryota; Metazoa; Mollusca; Bivalvia; Ostreida; Ostreidae. The record is from Rfam by way of RNAcentral.
CGCCAGAUAGCUCAGUUGAUAGAGUACCGGACUAGAUAUUCAGAGGGCCCAGGUUCGAUUCCCGGUCUGUUCU